AUUGAACGCUGGCGGCAGGCCUAACACAUGCAAGUCGAACGGUAACAGGAAGAAGCUUGCUUCUUUGCUGACGAGUGGCGGACGGGUGAGUAAUGUCUGGGAAACUGCCUGAUGGAGGGGGAUAACUACUGGAAACGGUAGCUAAUACCGCAUAACGUCGCAAGACCAAGAGGGGGACCUUCGGGCCUCUUGCCAUCGGAUGUGCCCAGAUGGGAUUAGCUUGUUGGUGGGGUAACGGCUCACCAAGGCGACGAUCCCUAGCUGGUCUGAGAGGAUGACCAGCCACACUGGAACUGAGACACGGUCCAGACUCCUACGGGAGGCAGCAGUGGGGAAUAUUGCACAAUGGGCGCAAGCCUGAUGCAGCCAUGCCGCGUGUAUGAAGAAGGCCUUCGGGUUGUAAAGUACUUUCAGCGGGGAGGAAGGGAGUAAAGUUAAUACCUUUGCUCAUUGACGUUACCCGCAGAAGAAGCACCGGCUAACUCCGUG
Molecule: ribosomal RNA, 489 nt
Filed under: uncultured bacterium
Lineage: Bacteria
Description: partial 16S ribosomal RNA
Rfam family: Bacterial small subunit ribosomal RNA
Source: RNAcentral